ACAGAUGCGCUUAGUUCCUUGACUGGAAUUAUUACAGUAUAUUUUCGACUUUCAUAUUUCUUAAAAGCAGAAUCACAUUCCUUCGUAAAUGUUUUCAUUCACUAACUUAUUAGCUGGCAACGCUCCUGUUAUCGAAGAUGGCGGGAGAAAAGAGUAUAUGUUAAAGCAUUCUAUUAUUCUAUUAGUAUUAAUACGUUUAUUAUCCAUAAUUCAGUUAUCUCUGAAAGAAAAAAGAAUUACUUUAUUUUUAAGCGGAUCUAGUAGUAAAAAAUAAAAACAAUUUGGAUUUACGCUUUUAAAUCGCUUUCGUCAAUUUUUCACUCCGAGAAAUAUUUCAUAAAUCCUUUCAACAAUGGCACCUAAAAAGGCAAGAUCUUCAAAAAGGAAAACUGAAGAGACAGAAUCCAAAUCAUCAAAGAAAAUUAAAAAAGAAGAAAAGUCUGAACAAGUAAAUGAUGAUAAUAUUGCUGAAUCAAACAGUUUUACAUCUGAUGCAAAAUCUCUAACCGGGAAAAAAUGGAAUCUUAAAAUUUCUUCAUGGAAUGUGAAUGGAAUUAGAUCAUGGCUUGACAAAGGAAUAGCAUUCCUAAAAGAGGAAAAUCCAGAUAUUCUCUGUCUUCAAGAAACUAAAUGUGGAGAUAAUGAAAUUCCUAAGAAAAUUAAAGAUUUUGAAGGUUAUCACAAAUAUUGGCUUUCAGGUGAUCAAAAAGGCUAUUCAGGUGUAGGCCUUUUAACCAAGAAAAAACCUUUGGAUGUCACCUAUGGAAUUGGUAAUAAAGAACAUGAUAAGGAAGGAAGAGUUAUAACUGCAGAAUAUGAAGAAUUUUAUAUUGUUAAUGCUUAUGUUCCAAAUGCAGGAAGAGGAUUGGUUAGACUUGAUUAUCGAAUGAAAUGGGACAACGAUUUCCUACAAUAUUUAAAGGAAUUAGAUUCUAAGAAACCUUUAAUACUGUGUGGUGAUCUUAACGUUGCACAUAAUGAAAUAGAUCUUGCAAGACCAAAAUCAAACAAGAAAAAUGCAGGUUUCACCAAAGAAGAGCGAGAGGAUUUUACAAAACUGUUGUCAGAAGGAUUUUUUGAUAGUUUUAGAAAAUUGUAUCCAGAUACAGAAGGAUGCUAUACUUUUUGGUCAUAUAUGAUGAAUGCAAGAGGAAAAGAUAUUGGAUGGAGACUAGACUAUUUUGUAUUAUCAGAGCAACUUGAACAGAAUCUUUGUGAUAACCUUAUUAGAAAGAAAAUUCUUGGUAGCGAUCACUGUCCAAUAACUCUAUUAAUGAGUUUUUAAAAUUUGAAACACAUUAAGCAGUAUUUCAAGAAAUCAAGAAUUGAUAGACAUUUUAUUUCAUCAGAAUUAUAUUAUUAGUUUUUUUGGUCUGGAAUAAAAUGAAAUAAUAUUCUACUCUAACACAGCUGAUAAAUGUGUGAUGAAAAUAAGAGUAAAGAUAAAUGCAGUGUAAUGAGGACAGUUAAUCCUACAGUCAAAGGAACAAGAUUUUAUACAAGACUUAUAGUAAUGAAGAUGAUCUUUUGUAUUAUGAUAUGCAUGAUGAAAGUUGACUGUAAGUAAGCGAGAAGAAAGUGGACGG
RNAcentral lists this unclassified non-coding RNA (1586 nucleotides) under Centruroides sculpturatus (bark scorpion). Its description in RNAcentral is "exodeoxyribonuclease-like, transcript variant X2". Lineage: Eukaryota; Metazoa; Arthropoda; Arachnida; Scorpiones; Buthidae. The record is from RNAcentral.